Non-coding RNA from Nerophis lumbriciformis (worm pipefish), 914 nucleotides. The record is from RefSeq and is a predicted model, not a curated record. Lineage: Eukaryota; Metazoa; Chordata; Actinopteri; Syngnathiformes; Syngnathidae.
GAGCAAAAUAAACAUUAUUUUUUACAUCAACUCAUAAGUUAUGUGAAACUUCCCCAGGAGCAUUGUUAAAAUACUUUGGAGGCACAGAAUCAGCCCAGAGCCAGUCCACAUCCUCAGGCUCAACUGUGAGUGAUGAAUCAGGUCCAUCUCCAUCCUCUACAGUGCUCUCUCACACACCUCCAUCCUCUGUGCCCACUGUCCCCUCUAUGUCUGAAACCACAGCUGAUUUAUCUACAACUUCCACCACAACGUCCCCUUCACGCCAUGGACCAUCAUCAGCUCCGCCAGUUGACCCAGCUGAGUGGCCUUCUUUCCUCUCAGAUUCAGACAGGACUGAGCAGGUGAUCAGAGGAUCACUGUCUAUUAAGGAGAACUUUUCAUUCCCCAAACGGCAUGAUGGCCGAAGUUUUCAUUAUCAUUAUACCUACAGACAGCUAGUCAAUGGGGAAAAAGUCAAGCGUAGCUGGCUGACUUAUUCAAGAAGUAAAGAUGCAGUCUAUUGCUUUUGCUGCAAAUUAUUUUCCAAAAAGUCCUUAAAACUGGCAGCCGAGGAACAGCGGGAUUGGGUCAACAUAGGUGCACUGCUGAAACAGCCUGAAAACAGUGAAGAUCAUUGUAGCAACAUGGUGAAAUGGAAGGAAUUUGCCUUGCGUCUUUCAAAGGGGAAAACUAUUGAUGAAUUUAACUUCAGUAGACUGCGCUCUCUUUGUACAAAGUAAACAUUAAAUAUGAACAAUUAACUAAAAAUAUAAACUAGUAAUUAAAGACUAAUAUGUACAAGACUGAUGAGACAAGAUGACACUUUUACUGUAAAUACAAAGCUUUAUCACUUGGACUGUUCAACCCCAGGCCACCCUUGUAGCUGAAUGUUUUCUACAUUUUAAGAUUAGGAACCAUAUGUGGCACUCUGGACA